RNAcentral lists this ribosomal RNA (360 nucleotides) under uncultured bacterium. RNAcentral describes it as "bacterial SSU rRNA". It matches the Rfam family "Bacterial small subunit ribosomal RNA", at positions 29 to 416 of the family's 1533-position model. The record is from RNAcentral.
AACGAACGCUGGCGGCAGGCCUAACACAUGCAAGUCGAGCGAACCCUUCGGGGUUAGCGGCGGACGGGUUAGUAACGCGUGGGAAUAUACCCUUUGGUACGGAAUAGCCUCGGGAAACUGAGAGUAAUACCGUAUGUGCCCUUCGGGGGAAAGAUUUAUCGCCAAAGGAUUAGCCCGCGUUGGAUUAGAUAGUUGGUGGGGUAAUGGCCUACCAAGUCUACGAUCCAUAGCUGGUUUGAGAGGAUGAUCAGCAACACUGGGACUGAGACACGGCCCAGACUCCUACGGGAGGCAGCAGUGGGGAAUCUUAGACAAUGGGCGCAAGCCUGAUCUAGCCAUGCCGCGUGGACGAUGAAGGCC